RNAcentral lists this ribosomal RNA (468 nucleotides) under uncultured bacterium. RNAcentral's name for it is "partial 16S ribosomal RNA". It matches the Rfam family "Bacterial small subunit ribosomal RNA", at positions 28 to 507 of the family's 1533-position model. The record is from RNAcentral.
GACGAACGCUGGCGGCGUGCUUAACACAUGCAAGUCGAACGGAAAGGCCCUGCUUUUGUGGGGUGCUCGAGUGGCGAACGGGUGAGUAACACGUGAGUAACCUGCCCUUGACUUUGGGAUAACUUCAGGAAACUGGGGCUAAUACCGGAUAGUAGCUCCUGCUGCAUGGUGGGGGUUGGAAAGUUUCGGCGGUUGGGGCUGGACUCGCGGCUUAUCAGCUUGUUGGUGGGGUAGCGGCUUACCAAGGCGUGGACGGGUAGCCGGCCUGAGAGGGUGACCGGCCACAUUGGGACUGAGAUACGGCCCAGACUCCUACGGGAGGCAGCAGUGGGGAAUAUUGCACAAUGGGCGGAAGCCUGAUGCAGCAACGCCGCGUGCGGGAUGACGGCCUUCGGGUUGUAAACCGCUUUCGCCUGUGACGAAGCGUGAGUGACGGUAAUGGGUAAAGAAGCACCGGCUAACUACGUG